RNAcentral lists this ribosomal RNA (425 nucleotides) under uncultured bacterium. Its description in RNAcentral is "bacterial SSU rRNA". It matches the Rfam family "Bacterial small subunit ribosomal RNA", at positions 355 to 772 of the family's 1533-position model. The record is from RNAcentral.
UGGGGAAUCUUGCGCAAUGCGCGAAAGCGUGACGCAGCAACGCCGCGUGAGGGAAGAAGGCCUUCGGGUUGUAAACCUCUUUCAGGAGGGACGAAGGUUCAGGCGCGAAUAGCGUCCUGGACUGACGGUACCUCCAGAAGAAGCGCCGGCCAACUACGUGCCAGCAGCCGCGGUAAGACGUAGGGCGCGAGCGUUGUCCGGAUUUAUUGGGCGUAAAGAGCUCGUAGGCGGCUUGUUGCGUCAGCUGUGAAAGCCCAUGGCUUAACUGUGGGUUGGCAGCUGAUACGGGCAGGCUAGAGUUCGGUAGGGGAGACUGGAAUUCCUGGUGUAGCGGUGAAAUGCGCAGAUAUCAGGAGGAACACCGGUGGCGAAGGCGGGUCUCUGGGCCGAUACUGACGCUGAGGAGCGAAAGCGUGGGGAGCGAA